GACGAACGCUGGCGGCGUGCUUAACACAUGCAAGUCGAACGGAAAGGCCCUGCUUUUGUGGGGUGCUCGAGUGGCGAACGGGUGAGUAACACGUGAGUAGCCUGCCCUUGACUUUGGGAUAACUUCAGGAAACUGGGGCUAAUACCGGAUAGGAGCUCCUGCUGCAUGGUGGGGGUUGGAAAGUUUCGGCGGUUGGGGAUGGACUCGCGGCUUAUCAGCUUGUUGGUGUGGUAGUGGCUUACCAAGGCUUUGACGGGUAGCCGGCCUGAGAGGGUGACCGGCCACAUUGGGACUGAGAUACGGCCCAGACUCCUACGGGAGGCAGCAGUGGGGAAUAUUGCACAAUGGGCGGAAGCCUGAUGCAGCAACGCCGCGUGCGGGAUGACGGCCUGCGGGUUGUAAACCGCUUUCGCCUGUGACGAAGCGUGAGUGACGGUAAUGGGUAAAGAAGCACCGGCUAACUACGUG
This 468-nucleotide ribosomal RNA is filed under the name uncultured bacterium. RNAcentral describes it as "partial 16S ribosomal RNA". It matches the Rfam family "Bacterial small subunit ribosomal RNA", at positions 28 to 507 of the family's 1533-position model. The record is from RNAcentral.